GCCGGGUGCUGUGGCGCGUGCCUGUAAUCCAAGUUACCGGGAGGUGAGACUGGUGGAUCGUUUGAGCUCAGGAUCUCUGAGCUGCAGUGGACUAUGUCGAUCGGGUGUCCCAAUAAGUUCGGUAUCGAUAUGGUGCUCCUGGGGGAGGCCGGGACCACCAGGUCGUCUAAGGAGGGUGCACCGGCCCAGGUCGGAAACGGAGCAGGCCAAAGCCCCCGUGCGCUCAGUAGUGGGAUCGCGCCUGUGAAUAGAGGCUGUAGUGAAGCCUGAGUAAUACAGCGGGACCCAGUCUUUU
Molecule: signal recognition particle RNA, 295 nt
Filed under: Neogobius melanostomus (round goby)
Lineage: Eukaryota; Metazoa; Chordata; Actinopteri; Gobiiformes; Gobiidae
Description: Metazoan signal recognition particle RNA (ENSNMLG00000003674.1)
Rfam family: Metazoan signal recognition particle RNA
About the family: The signal recognition particle (SRP) is a universally conserved ribonucleoprotein. It is involved in the co-translational targeting of proteins to membranes.
Source: Rfam by way of RNAcentral